GACGAACGCUGGCGGCGUGCUUAGCACAUGCAAGUCGAACGAGAAGAGAUGAGAAGCUUGCUUCUUAUUGAUUCGAGUGGCAAACGGGUGAAUAACGCGUAAGCAACCUGCCCUCUAGAUGGGGGACAACAGCUGGAAACGGCUGCUAAUACCGAAUACGUUCUUUCUGUCGCAUGGCAGAAGGAAGAAAGGGAGGCUCUUCGGAGCUUUCGCUGGAGGAGGGGCUUGCGUCUGAUUAGCUAGUUGGAGGGGUAACGGCCCACCAAGGCGACGAUCAGUAGCCGGUCUGAGAGGAUGAACGGCCACAUUGGGACUGAGACACGGCCCAGACU
This 332-nucleotide ribosomal RNA is filed under the name uncultured bacterium. RNAcentral describes it as "bacterial SSU rRNA". It matches the Rfam family "Bacterial small subunit ribosomal RNA", at positions 28 to 337 of the family's 1533-position model. The record is from RNAcentral.